This is a long non-coding RNA of Tachyglossus aculeatus (Australian echidna), 1035 nucleotides long. RefSeq lists it as uncharacterized. The record is from RefSeq and is a predicted model, not a curated record. Lineage: Eukaryota; Metazoa; Chordata; Mammalia; Monotremata; Tachyglossidae. The transcript has 4 exons.
UCCCCAUCUCCCUUCAGUUCCCUCCUCUGUGAAAUGGGAUUGAACACUGCGAGCCUCAGGUGGAACUGUGUCCCAAUUGAUUAGCUUAUAUCCACCCCAGUGCUUAGUAACAGCAUGGCCUAGUGGCAGGAGCACGGUCUUGGGAGUCAGAGGAUGUGGGUUCUAAUCCUAGGUCUGCCACUUGCCAGCUGCCCCCAGCCAGCUUUGAGAAAGUAGACGAAGAAAAAACGGAGGCAUUUGUUAAUUUUAAUAACAAUCGUAGAGGACCCAGAGUAGCAAAGAGAGGCAGGCUCAAGGCCAGAUGGGAAAGUAGUCCAGUCAGAACACGGACUCCCAAAAGGAUGCACCUCAAACCACAAGGAGCUAAGCAAUCCAAAGGAAGCACAAUUGAAGACUCCAAGAACUACAGACAUGGAGACAAGGAGAGCCAGCCCCGGUAAUCCUGCCCCCGUCUGAAGAAGUAGAAAUUCCCGGCCUGCCUUGAGUUUAAUAUCCGCGGACAGACGGAGGAAUGUAACCUUCCAGUGAGACGGCUGAACAUGCAGCCCUUUAACCCAGCAUCCCUGGCUCCUGAUCAAAGAGAUUAAGGAAGCUUAGACUGUAUGAACUUACAACACAUUGCCUGAAACCUUACAAACCUGAAGUCGUCGUCAUCAUCAUUGUCAUCAUCUCCACCAUCUCUCAAGGGUGUGUGUUUCCAACAGCAUCAGGGGCCCAGGGAGGAAGAGUCAGAAAGAAAUGAUGCGACAUCGAUCCGAAUCCAAAACAUGUGGCUCUUUGCAACUGCUUCUUGACGUGGAUGUGGCAGGGUUGGUCUGUGGCUGGAAGAGACUAAGCAGAGACACGGAAGAGAUGAUUCCCCCUCCUCACUCCUGCAGCCUUCUAGGAAUGAGGAGUGAAACUUCUCUUCCGUACUGACGUCCUCUUGUCCUGUGAGUUUACCUUACUCUCAGUCCACAUUCGAGCCCCUCAGAGAAGCACUGCGGCCUAGUGGAAAGAGCACGGACUUGGGAGUCAAAGGACCUGGGCUCUAAU